AGUGAACGCUGGCGGCAGGCCUAAUACAUGCAAGUCGAACGGCAGCACAGCAGAGCUUGCUCUGUGGGUGGCGAGUGGCGGACGGGUGAGGAAUACAUGGGAAUCUGCCCAGUCGUGGGGGAUAACGUAUGGAAACGUACGCUAAUACCGCAUGCGCCCUAAGGGGGAAAGCCGGGGACCGCAAGGCCUGGCGCGAUUGGAUGAGCCCAUGUUCGAUUAGCUAGUUGGCGGGGUAAAGGCCCACCAAGGCGACGAUCGAUAGCUGGUCUGAGAGGAUGAUCAGCCACACUGGAACUGAGACACGGUCCAGACUCCUACGGGAGGCAGCAGUAGGGAAUAUUGGACAAUGGGGGCAACCCUGAUCCAGCCAUGCCGCGUGAGUGAAGAAGGCCCUCGGGUUGUAAAGCUCUUUUGUCCGGAAAGAAAGCAAUCGGUUAAUACCCGGUUGUCCUGACGGUACCGGAAGAAUAAGCACCGGCUAACUUCGUGCCAGC
This 494-nucleotide ribosomal RNA is filed under the name uncultured bacterium. RNAcentral describes it as "bacterial SSU rRNA". It matches the Rfam family "Bacterial small subunit ribosomal RNA", at positions 29 to 512 of the family's 1533-position model. The record is from RNAcentral.